Molecule: ribosomal RNA, 380 nt
Filed under: Gephyrocapsa oceanica
Lineage: Eukaryota; Haptophyta; Isochrysidales; Noelaerhabdaceae
Description: partial Eukaryotic large subunit ribosomal RNA
Rfam family: Eukaryotic large subunit ribosomal RNA
Source: RNAcentral
AACUUUGAAGACUGAAGUGGAGAAAGGUUCCACGUGAACAGCAAUUGGACGUGGGUUAGUCGAUCCUAAGAGAUAGGAGAAAUCCGUUGCAAGGUGGACGUUUAUUCGUCCCUUCUAUCGAAAGGGAAUCGGGUUAAUAUUCCCGAACCAGGACGUGGAUGUUGAGUGGUAACACAAGCAAAGCCGGGGACGACGGCGGGAGCCCCGACGAGAGUUUUCUUUUCUUGUUAACAGAUUUCAAUGACCCUGGAAUCGGAUUGACCGGAGAUAGGGUUAUCGGUCUGGGAAAGGCGGUCGCUUUUGGACCGCUUCGGUGCGCUCUCGACGUUCCUUGAAAACCUGGCGGCGUGUCUUAUUCGCACUCCUGGUCGUACUCAUAA